Molecule: non-coding RNA, 26 nt
Filed under: Rattus norvegicus (Norway rat)
Lineage: Eukaryota; Metazoa; Chordata; Mammalia; Rodentia; Muridae
Source: RNAcentral
AAACAGACAGCACUCGUCACAUGAGG